This 160-nucleotide ribosomal RNA is filed under the name uncultured bacterium. RNAcentral's name for it is "partial 16S rRNA". It matches the Rfam family "Bacterial small subunit ribosomal RNA", at positions 355 to 507 of the family's 1533-position model. The record is from RNAcentral.
UGGGGAAUAUUGGACAAUGGGCGCAAGCCUGAUCCAGCAAUACCGCGUGUGUGAAGAAGGCCUGCGGGUUGUAAAGCACUUUCAAUUGUGAAGAAAAGCCUAGAGUUAAUAACUCUGGGUCUUGACGUUAACUUUAGAAGAAGCACCGGCUAACUCCGUG